RNAcentral lists this microRNA precursor (76 nucleotides) under Myotis davidii. Its description in RNAcentral is "mir-9229 microRNA precursor family". It matches the Rfam family "mir-9229 microRNA precursor family". Lineage: Eukaryota; Metazoa; Chordata; Mammalia; Chiroptera; Vespertilionidae. The record is from Rfam by way of RNAcentral.
GAGACACCCUGCUGGGGCAAGGCUUGCUUCAGUGGGGCUUUGGUGCUCACUGAGUCUUCAACCUUAGUGUGUCCCU